AUACGGAGGGUGCAAGCGUUACUCGGAAUCACUGGGCGUAAAGCGCGCGCAGGCGGUCUUUUAAGUUGGAUGUGAAAGCCUACGGCUCAACCGUAGAACUGCAUCCAAAACUAUUAGACUAGAGUGUGGGAGAGGAAGAUGGAAUUAGUUGUGUAGGGGUAAAAUCCGUAGAGAUAACUAGGAAUACCAAAAGCGAAGGCAAUCUUCUGGAACACUACUGACGCUGCGGCGCGAAAGCGUGGGGAGCAAACAGGAUUAGAAACCCUUGUAGUCC
This 274-nucleotide ribosomal RNA is filed under the name uncultured bacterium. RNAcentral's name for it is "partial 16S ribosomal RNA". It matches the Rfam family "Bacterial small subunit ribosomal RNA", at positions 523 to 796 of the family's 1533-position model. The record is from RNAcentral.